RNAcentral lists this ribosomal RNA (492 nucleotides) under uncultured bacterium. RNAcentral's name for it is "partial 16S ribosomal RNA". It matches the Rfam family "Bacterial small subunit ribosomal RNA", at positions 29 to 507 of the family's 1533-position model. The record is from RNAcentral.
AGUGAACGCUGGCGGUAGGCCUAACACAUGCAAGUCGAACGGCAGCACAGUAAGAGCUUGCUCUUACGGGUGGCGAGUGGCGGACGGGUGAGGAAUACAUCGGAAUCUACUUUUUCGUGGGGGAUAACGUAGGGAAACUUACGCUAAUACCGCAUACGACCUACGGGUGAAAGCAGGGGAUCUUCGGACCUUGCGCGAUUGAAUGAGCCGAUGUCAGAUUAGCUAGUUGGCGGGGUAAAGGCCCACCAAGGCGACGAUCCGUAGCUGGUCUGAGAGGAUGAUCAGCCACACUGGAACUGAGACACGGUCCAGACUCCUACGGGAGGCAGCAGUGGGGAAUAUUGGACAAUGGGCGCAAGCCUGAUCCAGCCAUACCGCGUGGGUGAAGAAGGCCUUCGGGUUGUAAAGCCCUUUUGUUGGGAAAGAAAAGCAGCAGGUUAAUACCCCGCUGUUCUGACGGUACCCAAAGAAUAAGCACCGGCUAACCUCGUG